GCUUGUGCCCGGCAUUAGAGAGAGCCUGCAGGAUGCAGGGAGAUCUUCCUGGGUAGGGGAUUUUGUCAACAAAGUCUCCGGGAUGGGAGGACCUCACAGGCUGCGUUUCCCUCCUGCUUCCCUGGUGCCAUCGCGGGCCCCUCCGCCUCCCCUGACGUUUAAGUGCAGAAAUCUACUGCUCCACCAGACCUCCAACCUCAUGUUAAUAAAUGCCAGCUGUCUUCUGUUGCUCAUACCCCAAAGCAAUGGUGGAUCCUUGAGUCUCCUCUUUCUUCCAUUCUCCAGCCCAGCAUCAAAUCCCAUUGGCUCCCACUUCAGAGCCAGUCGAAGGUCAGAUGAGCCUGGCUCUCCUCUGCACCAGCUCAAGCCAAUGUCAUCUCCCACCUGGAUUGUUGUUAAACCCUGCUCUCUGGACAGCCUGCUUCAGUCUUGCUCUGUCCCUCCCUCAGGCUGUUCUUAGCACAUCGCUGAGUGAUGCUUUCAAGAUGUCAGAUCAAA
Molecule: long non-coding RNA, 498 nt
Organism: Bubalus bubalis (water buffalo)
Lineage: Eukaryota; Metazoa; Chordata; Mammalia; Artiodactyla; Bovidae
Exons: 3
Source: RefSeq, a predicted model, not a curated record